CCCUUAGAUGUCCGGGGCUGCACGCGCGCUACACUGAAGGAAUCAGCGUGCUAAAACCAUUGUCGAAAGGCAUUGGUAAACCCAUUAAAAUCCUACGUGAUUGGGAUCGGGAAUUGCAAUUAUUUCCCUUGAACGAGGAAUUCCCAGUAAGUGUGGGUCAUAAGCUCGCGUUGAUUACGUCCCUGCCCUUUGUACACACCGCCCGUCGCUGCCCGGGACUGAGCCGUUUCGAGAAAGGCGGGGACUGCUGCUGUCGGGGCUUUCGGGCCUUGGCUUCGGUGGAAACCGCUUUAAUCGCANUNGCUUGANCCGGGCAAAANUCGUANCA
RNAcentral lists this ribosomal RNA (328 nucleotides) under uncultured eukaryote. Its description in RNAcentral is "partial 18S ribosomal RNA". It matches the Rfam family "Eukaryotic small subunit ribosomal RNA", at positions 1470 to 1796 of the family's 1831-position model. The record is from RNAcentral.